AUAUAACAAACAUUCUGUUUCAUUACUGGAGGAUGAUGAAGACACCUUAUCAGCUGCCACAGAGAGGGAAGAUGCAGAGAGGCCUGUUGAAAGCAAUGCUGGAAAUUACAAUGAGGAAGAAGGUCCAUUAACCUCCACAGAACAGCUUACCUCAGUAAGAUGUUGUUCAGCAUUGACCCACAACUUACAAUGACGCUAAGUAGAUAUGGCAUUGGGAAAUUCAACGUCAUUUAUGUUCGUAUAGCUCCCUGUGAAACAACUCUAAGGUAUAUUUGCAAGCAAAAAUCAACAAAAUGCAUUUGGAAAUGGACCAUAUAAGGCUGCAGAUCACUAAAACAAAAAUGGAAAUACAAAUGCUGGACCAUCAGUUAAAGG
Molecule: long non-coding RNA, 375 nt
Organism: Gadus macrocephalus (Pacific cod)
Lineage: Eukaryota; Metazoa; Chordata; Actinopteri; Gadiformes; Gadidae
Exons: 2
Source: RefSeq, a predicted model, not a curated record